UUUUUUGAAUGAUGACAUCCAAAUGUGAUCACACCUCAGCUCAGUAGAUGGUGGUAAUGCACAAUGAUUGCAAACUACCAAUACAAUUCAUCGAAGAAGAAGAAGAAGAAGAAGAAGAAGAAGGGCGUAAACGUAAUGGAACAUGCGCCAAAGCUGGUUUGCCAACCGCCAUUAAACGUUUAAGAAAGAGAGAAGAAAACAAGAAGAAGACGAAGCAGAAUGUGUUGGUUUAUCUCCGAUCGUAACAGAAGAGAAUGAAACCAGAUGAAGCUCCUCAUGACUCUCAUACCUAUUUCUAACAAGCAAUCCAUCACAAAAUGGAAUAAUUGUUCAAAAUGGACCCUCUAGUCAUAUGGAAGAGAGUUUGAGAUCAGAUGAAACAACAGUUCCAGCACUUUCAUACACUUGCCUGAGUGUAAUUGUCAUAAAGACUUUUGGCCCUCUAGCAGUUGAUGCAUGAAACUGCAAAUGACUUGCAGAGUAACAUUGCUUUGGUAAUUAUGUGAGACCAGUUUAGCCAUCGUUACAGGUGAUUGUCUAAUCAGAGAAAAUGUUACUAACAACAUCAACAUCCACCCCUCCCUCACCCAAGAAAAAGGGUGAGACCAGAUGAGUCGCCAUCUCCUGCACUCUAACUGCUGUCUAUUAAAAAUUGAUCAGUCAGUGGAUGGACAGACUGCAUUCAUCAAUGGAGCAAAGUUUCAAGGGAGAGAAGGUGAGAUCAGAAGAUGCACCAUCUCCAGCACUCUCACACCUGUCUGUAAAAAGUGAUCAGUCAAUGGAUCGGCCAAUCACAUUCAACAAUGAAACCCCUAGUUACAUUAGUCAUAGACCAGAUGAGGCACCAUCUCCUGCAACCUCAUACUUCUCUUUAAAAAGCAACCAAUCAAUGGAUCGACCGAUUACAUUCAAAGACAGAACACAGCCUUACAGUGUUAAACGCCUAAAUUGGUACUCUGACAGUCUGAGACCAGAUGAAA
Long non-coding RNA from Cyprinus carpio (common carp), 980 nucleotides. RefSeq lists it as uncharacterized. The record is from RefSeq and is a predicted model, not a curated record. Lineage: Eukaryota; Metazoa; Chordata; Actinopteri; Cypriniformes; Cyprinidae. The transcript is spliced from 7 exons.